This 124-nucleotide ribosomal RNA is filed under the name Helianthus annuus (common sunflower). The record is from RNAcentral. Lineage: Eukaryota; Viridiplantae; Streptophyta; Magnoliopsida; Asterales; Asteraceae.
GGUUGCGAUCAUACCAGCACUAAUGCACUGGAUCCCAUCAGAACUCCGUAGUUAAGCGUGCCUGGGCGAGAGUAGUACUAGGAUGGGUGACCCCCUGGGAAGUGCUCGUGUUGCAACCCCCUUC